This 254-nucleotide ribosomal RNA is filed under the name uncultured bacterium. Its description in RNAcentral is "partial 16S ribosomal RNA". It matches the Rfam family "Bacterial small subunit ribosomal RNA", at positions 524 to 776 of the family's 1533-position model. The record is from RNAcentral.
CACGUAGGCACCAAGCGUUGUCCGGAUUUAUUGGGCGUAAAGAGCUCGUAGGCGGUUCGAUAAGUCGGGUGUGAAAACUUUGGGCUUAACCCAAAGCGUGCAUUCGAUACUGUUGUGACUAGAGUUCGGUAGGGGAGUGGGGAAUUCCUAGUGUAGCGGUGAAAUGCGCAGAUAUUAGGAGGAACACCGGUGGCGAAGGCGCCACUCUGGGCCGAAACUGACGCUGAGGAGCGAGAGCGUGGGUAGCAAACAGG